RNAcentral lists this ribosomal RNA (251 nucleotides) under uncultured bacterium. RNAcentral describes it as "partial 16S ribosomal RNA". It matches the Rfam family "Bacterial small subunit ribosomal RNA", at positions 78 to 334 of the family's 1533-position model. The record is from RNAcentral.
CUUUUGCUGGCGACCGGCGCACGGGUGAGUAACACGUAUCCAACCUGCCCUUUACUCGGGGAUAGCCUUUCGAAAGAAAGAUUAAUACCCGAUAGCAUAAUGAUUCCGCAUGGUUUCAUUAUUAAAGGAUUCCGGUAAAGGAUGGAGAUGCGUUCCAUUAGGUUGUUGGUGAGGUAACGGCUCACCAAGCCUUCGAUGGAUAGGGGUUCUGAGAGGAAGGUCCCCCACAUUGGAACUGAGACACGGUCCAA